UUGACGGGGGCCCGCACAAGCGGUGGAGCAUGUGGUUUAAUUCGAUGAUACGCGAGGAACCUUACCUGGGCUAGAACGCAUUCGGAAUCAGGCCGAAAGGCCUGCGCCAGCGAUGGCCGCUUACGAGGUGCUGCAUGGUUGUCGUCAGCUCGUGCCGUGAGGUGUCGGGUUAAGUCCCAUAACGAGCGCAACCCCUACUGCUAGUUGCCAGCGGGUCAUGCCGGGGACUCUAGCGGAACUGCCAGCGUAAGCUGCGAGGAAGGUGGGGAUGACGUCAAAUCAGCACGGCCCUUACGUCCAGGGCUACACACGUGUUACAAUGGCCGGUACAGAGGGCAGCCACCCCGCGAGGGGGCGCGAAUCCCGAAAGCCGGUCCCAGUUCGGAUCGGAGUCCGCAACCCGACUCCGUGAAGCUGGAUUCGCUAGUAAUCGCGCAUCAGCCACGGCGCGGUGAAUACGUUCCCGGGCCUU
This 472-nucleotide ribosomal RNA is filed under the name uncultured Rikenellaceae bacterium. RNAcentral's name for it is "bacterial SSU rRNA". It matches the Rfam family "Bacterial small subunit ribosomal RNA", at positions 910 to 1382 of the family's 1533-position model. The record is from RNAcentral. Lineage: Bacteria; Pseudomonadati; Bacteroidota; Bacteroidia; Bacteroidales; Rikenellaceae.